Molecule: small nucleolar RNA, 87 nt
Organism: Raphanus sativus (radish)
Lineage: Eukaryota; Viridiplantae; Streptophyta; Magnoliopsida; Brassicales; Brassicaceae
Source: RefSeq, a predicted model, not a curated record
UUUUGGCAGUGAUGACUAAUUUUGAUACGCCAGUUCUGCUUCAGAUAAUUCUUGAUUGAAAAGCUGUUUUCAUUGUCUGAGCCUGUU